UGCGGGGUGGAGCAGUGGUAGCUCGUCGGGCUCAUAACCCGAAGGUCAUAGGUUCGAAUCCUGUCCCCGCUA
This 72-nucleotide transfer RNA is filed under the name Bacteroidales bacterium. RNAcentral's name for it is "tRNA-Met". It matches the Rfam family "tRNA". Rfam says of the family: Transfer RNA (tRNA) molecules are approximately 80 nucleotides in length. Their secondary structure includes four short double-helical elements and three loops (D, anti-codon, and T loops). Lineage: Bacteria; Pseudomonadati; Bacteroidota; Bacteroidia; Bacteroidales. RNAcentral also lists the same sequence under 2 other names. The record is from RNAcentral.